UGGGGAAUUGUUCGCAAUGGGCGCAAGCCUGACGACGCAACGCCGCGUGGAGGAUGAAGAUCUUCGGGUCGUAAACUCCUGUCGAAUGGGACGAACGGAUUGCGGGAUAACACCUCGCAGUCGUGACGGUACCGUUAAAGGAAACCCCGGCUAACUCCGUGCCAGCAGCCGCGGUAAUACGGGGGGGGUAAGCGUUGUUCGGAAUUACUGGGCGUAAAGGGCUCGUAGGCGGCCAACUAAGUCAGACGUGAAAUCCCUCAGCUUAACUGGGGAACUGCGUCUGAUACUGGAUGGCUUGGAUUCGGGAGAGGAAUGCGGAAUUCCAGGUGUAGCGGUGAAAUGCGUAGAUAUCUGGAGGAACACCGGUGGCGAAGGCGGCAUUCUGGACCGACAUUGACGCUGAGGAGCGAAAGCCAGGGGAGCAA
Molecule: ribosomal RNA, 425 nt
Filed under: uncultured bacterium
Lineage: Bacteria
Description: bacterial SSU rRNA
Rfam family: Bacterial small subunit ribosomal RNA
Source: RNAcentral